This 585-nucleotide ribosomal RNA is filed under the name uncultured bacterium. RNAcentral describes it as "partial 16S ribosomal RNA". It matches the Rfam family "Bacterial small subunit ribosomal RNA", at positions 355 to 1375 of the family's 1533-position model. The record is from RNAcentral.
UGGGGAAUUUUGGACAAUGGGCGAAAGCCUGAUCCAGCAAUGCCGCGUGUGUGAAGAAGGCCUUCGGGUUGUAAAGCACUUUUGUCCGGAAAGAAAUCCUUGGCUCUAAUACAGUCUGGGGAUGACGGUACCGGAAGAAUAAGCACCGGCUAACUACGUGCCAGCAGCCGCGGUAAUACGUAGGGUGCAAGCGUUAAUCGGAAUUACUGGGCGUAAAGCGUGCGCAGGCGGUUUGCUAAGACCGAUGUGAAAUCCCCGGGCUCAACCUGGGAACUGCAUUGGUGACUGGCAGGCUAGAGUAUGGCAGAGGGGGGUAGAAUUCCACGUGUAGCAGUGAAAUGCGUAGAGAUGUGGAGGAAUACCGAUGGCGAAGGCAGCCCCCUGGGCCAAUACUGACGCUCAUGCACGAAAGCGUGGGGAGCAAACAGGAUUAGAUACCCUGGUAGUCCACGCCCUAAACGAUGUCAACUAGUUGUUGGGGAUUCAUUUCCUUAGUAACGUAGCUAACGCGUGAAGUUGACCGCCUGGGGAGUACGGUCGCAAGAUUAAAACUUAAAUGAAUUGACGGGGUCAUAGCUGUUUCCU